RNAcentral lists this long non-coding RNA (251 nucleotides) under Zonotrichia albicollis (white-throated sparrow). Its description in RNAcentral is "lncRNA (ENSZALG00000001258.1)". Lineage: Eukaryota; Metazoa; Chordata; Aves; Passeriformes; Passerellidae. The record is from RNAcentral.
GGGGGGAUUUGGGAACCCCCAGCCCCAAAUUCUGCGGCAGCGGGGGCUGGGCUGGAUCAGGCACUUCUGGGCACUGCGGGGAGGGGACAGGGACGGACAGAGGGACGGACAGGAUGGACAGAGGGAUGGACAGGGAGGGACAGAGGGAUGGACAGGGAUGGACACAGGGAUGGACAGGGAGGGACAUGGGGGGGACAGGGAGGGACACAGGGAUGGACAGGGAUGGACAGAGGGAUGGACACAGGAUGGAU